UAGUAUAUUGUAUAUUGAUGA
Caenorhabditis elegans is the source of this 21-nucleotide non-coding RNA. NCBI's taxonomy places the organism in Eukaryota, Metazoa, Nematoda, Chromadorea, Rhabditida, Rhabditidae. The record is from Ensembl.